Molecule: non-coding RNA, 793 nt
Organism: Cucurbita pepo subsp. pepo (vegetable marrow)
Lineage: Eukaryota; Viridiplantae; Streptophyta; Magnoliopsida; Cucurbitales; Cucurbitaceae
Source: RefSeq, a predicted model, not a curated record
CAUAGGACAUAUUUAACCGUUGGGAUUAGCUCAUUGUGAGUGACUUCAACCGAGACCAUCGAGCAAGGGGAUGGAACGUUGUAUGUAUAAUGCCAUGGAGGUAAAGCCUAAGAACCUCAUGCACACUAUGGUUAUGUACCUGGGGCACUCCCCCAUUAUGCUACUGAUGGUAUGGACGCGUAUAUUCGGUAUUGUGUUCGCCACAAUAUCAUGCAGGCCCUCCUUUGUCCGUGGCGUCCGAUAUUGUAUGUCAUACAUACCCAACCAAGCCAGGCCCAGGGAGUUCGCUUGCGAGCUCGCCUGGUGGGCCCACAGUCACAUACGUGGGCCAUGUCUGGGAAAGUACCAUGCAUCCACCCCCGCCCGGACAAAGCAAGGGCCUAAGGCCAUGGGAAGGAAUGGAAGACAGACCCCUCUCUAAGUUUUCUUUCUUUUGACACUUGUGCUUAUGUAUGUGUAUUGUAUGCGAUCGUGUGUAUCCUAAUGUAUGAUUAUAUGCUUGACUCCAACAGUGGGGCAACUUACUGGGUAUUUCAUAUAAUACUCGAGCCACGUGCUACCCAUAUUUUUAGGUAAGGGCAAGGCCCCCAUGUACGGCUGAUGGUGGAUGCUGCGAAAGCCAUGGAAGUCUUAAGGAGGGUUUGUAGUGUCGUAGACGUCUUGUUGGAUUCUCUCGGUUAUUAGUUAUUGCAAUUGUCCCUCUAGUUAUCCGUUGUUUAUUUCUAGGUUAGGCUGUCGUUAUUGUUUUCCCCAGGCAUGAGCUGCUUAUAAUAAUGAACGUCUUGUCAAUUUU